CCAAUACUGCGGGGCUAGNGAUGUCAGAGAAGGUGAAUUCCUGGUGUAGUGNUGAAAUGCGUAGAUAUCAGGAGGAACACCCGUGGCGAAGGCGGCCUUCUGGGGCAUUCCUGACACUGAGAAGCGAAAGCUAGGGGAGCAAACAGGAUUAGAAACCCUGGUAGUCCUAGCCGUAAACGAUGGAUGCUAGGUGUUGGUGGAUUUAACCCCAUCAGUGCCGAAGCUAACGCGUUAAACAUCCCGCCUGGGAAGUACGACCGCAAGGUUAAAACUCAAACGGAAUUGACGGGGACCCGCACAAGCAGCGGAGCGUGUGGUUUAAUUCGAUGCUACACGAAGAACCUUACCCAGGCUUGACAUAUAGGUGGUAGUGAACCGAAAGGGGAACGACCCGCAAGGGAGCCUAUACAGGUGUUGCAUGGCUGUCGUCAGCUCGUGUCGUGAGAUGUUGGCUUAAGUGCCCUAACGAGCGCAACCCUUGCUGCCAGUUACAAGUGUCUGGCGGGACUGCCGGCCACAAGCCGGAGGAAGGCGGGGAUGACGUCAAGUCAGCAUGGCCUUUAUGCCUGGGGCUACACACACGCUACAAUGGGACGGCACAAUGGGUAGCCAAGCCGCGAGGCGGAGCCAAUCCUCAAAACGUCCCUCAGUUCAGAUUGCAGGCUGCAACCCGCCUGCAUGAAGUCGGAGUUGCUAGUAACCGCGCGUCAGCCAUAGUGCGGUGAAUACGUUCCCGGGUCUUGUACACACCGCCCGUCACACUAUGGGAGCUGGCAACACCUGAAGCCGGCAGCCUGACCGCAAGGAGGGCACCGUCAAAGGUGGGGCUAGU
RNAcentral lists this ribosomal RNA (832 nucleotides) under uncultured bacterium. Its description in RNAcentral is "bacterial SSU rRNA". It matches the Rfam family "Bacterial small subunit ribosomal RNA", at positions 627 to 1472 of the family's 1533-position model. The record is from RNAcentral.